GCCGAAGUGGCGGAACUGGCAUACGCGCUACGUUCAGGGCGUAGUGGCCCUUGGCCUUGUGAGUUCAAAUCUCACCUUCGGCACCA
Molecule: transfer RNA, 86 nt
Filed under: Candidatus Omnitrophota bacterium
Lineage: Bacteria; Pseudomonadati; Candidatus Omnitrophota
Description: tRNA-Leu
Rfam family: tRNA
About the family: Transfer RNA (tRNA) molecules are approximately 80 nucleotides in length. Their secondary structure includes four short double-helical elements and three loops (D, anti-codon, and T loops). Further hydrogen bonds mediate the characteristic L-shaped molecular structure. tRNAs have two regions of fundamental functional importance: the anti-codon, which is responsible for specific mRNA codon recognition, and the 3' end, to which the tRNAs corresponding amino acid is attached (by aminoacyl-tRNA synthetases). tRNAs cope with the degeneracy of the genetic code in two manners: having more than one tRNA (with a specific anti-codon) for a particular amino acid; and 'wobble' base-pairing, i.e. permitting non-standard base-pairing at the 3rd anti-codon position.
Source: RNAcentral